RNAcentral lists this long non-coding RNA (7682 nucleotides) under Podarcis lilfordi (Lilford's wall lizard). Lineage: Eukaryota; Metazoa; Chordata; Lepidosauria; Squamata; Lacertidae. The record is from RNAcentral.
CCCUAACUGCCUGUGCAUUGUCUCGCCAGACAGUGGUUAUCUCCUGCUUGAACUACUGCAAUGUGCUCUCCGUGGGGCUACCUUUGAAGGUGACUCAGAAACUACAGCUAAUCCAGAAUGUGGCAGCUAGACUGGUGAAUGAGAGCAGCCACCGCGACCAUAUAACACCAGUCCUGAAUGGCCUACGCUGGCUCCCGGUAUGUUUCCAAGCACAAUUCAAAGUGUUGGUGCUGACCUUCUGUUAUGUGCUGAGCUUGAAGGAGUGUCUUCACCCCCAUCGCUCAGCCCAGACACUAAGGUCCAGCGCCGAGGGCCUUCUGGCAGUUCCCUGACUGCGAGAAGUGAGGUUACAGGGAACCAGGCAGAGGGUCUUCUCACUAGUGGCACCCACCUUGUGGAAUGCCUUCCCAUGAGAUGUCAAGGAGAUAAGUAACUAUACAACCUUUAGAAGACAUCUGAAACAUCUGAGACAUCUGAGACAUGCUGGAAGCAGGACCGGAUUUAGGUUUGAUGAGGCCCUAAGCUACUGAAUGUAACGGGGCCCUUUAUAUCAUAGCUGUCAACGUUUCCCUUUUUUUAAGGGAAAUUCCCUUAUUCCAAAUAGGAUUCCUCUCAAGAAAAGGGAAAAGUUGACAGCUAUGCUUUAUAUGUCCAGCUAUCCUUUGUCAACAACAAAUUGUCGCUGUUUUUGUUGUUGAAUAUAUGCUAUAUGGUAAUUUAUGGACCUAAUAGGUAUCUAAAGCCAUUUGCACAUAACAAAAUAUGUAUUUUAUCAAAGAAAUUGUUGAACUGAAAUACAGUUAAGAAGAAGUAUAUUAAUAGUGAAAUACAAUUAAGAAGAAGUAUAUUAAUAGUGAAAUAAUUAUUAAGCCCCAACUUAAAAUGAUUUUUUAUUCAUAACAAACUUAAUAAUGCAAACACAUUGGCAUUUGGCAAUCACAAAAGUUCCUUUAGAAACACCAUUUACAAAGACUCAUAAUUUUGCGGGGCCCCCCAAGAGAGUGGGGCCAUAAACUAUAGCUUGUUUAGCUUAUACGUAAAUCCGGCACUGGCUGGAAGCCACCCAGAGUGGCUGGGGCAAUCCAUUCAGAUGGGCGGGGUGCAAAUAAAAUAAUAAUAAUAAUAAUAAUAAUAAUAAUAAUAAUAAUAAUAAUAAUAAUAAGUUUGUUAAGGCCUCUGGGACUUGUAACUCUGUGAGGAAUGAGCUACAGUGCCCAUAAUUCUUUGAGGGUGGAAAUGUGCCUUGAAGAGUAAAGAUAUACUGUUUAAGCAGAUUGUGUGACUUCUGUGCUUGCUCAGUUUAUUCUCUAAAUGUUAAAGGGCAUCUUCAAAUUCUUGUUUGCUCUCCCUUCUGUUGUUUCUUUAUGUUAAAAAUUAGAUCUGGACUGGACAGUCUUUCAAACAGAGGACUAUCCUCUGACCACACUUCAAAGUGUUAACUGUCAGUCCUCUCUAAAUGACACAUGACCAUCCUAUAGCAGUUUCAAGGGUGUGUGUGAGAUUAUAUUCGAUUUAAGCUGGGGAAUCAGACGAAGGGGCAAAGCGUUUGGCCCUCAUCCAAAUCAGCUCCCCCCCCCCCAGCUGCUUUAAAACCAAGCAAAGAAAGUCCCUGAAAAGAUUUCUCCUCCCACAUAACUUCUUCUUUUGUGCCAGGCAUUCUGUGUGCCAUGAGAAUUCAAAUUCUGCCCCUGCCACCCUGCCACCCUGCCCUGAUCCUGGUCCACAUGUGCAGCAGAAUAAGGUGGAAGUAUCCUGAGGGCAAAAUGUGGCUUGUACCACUUCAGACUGAAGGUGGGGGAGGGGCACGUGUGUUUAAACACUUCCCUGCAAGAGGAAAGGUAGCACAUCAGAGGAUAAUUUCUCUACUGUGCUGGUUUUCUCCUUGCAAGGAGGUGUCAUCUAAUUUACAUAGAGAAACUUUCAGAAAUGUGAACCUCCUCCCUACAUGGUAAGUGGUAAAGUGUGUUUUACCAUCUUAGAUCAGCAGGAACUCUCCUCACUUCAUUUCUGAUCUUCUCCAAAGAGACCCUGCUAUCGCUUGUGUCCAGAGAGCAGGAUCAAGUUUAGAUAACUGCUUAACAACUUCAGAAAUCAGUAGCUAAAUACCAUAAAUAAAGGAUUCACCCAUACAGCUGCAAAUAAAACAUUUUAAAUAUGUUGUAAAGUGCAAUAUACAAACGUGAUACUAAAUGGUGACAGGGAGCUAUGCCAAAUUCAAUGUAUUUUUUCAAAACUUUUUUUUAAAAAAACAAAUUUUCACAGUGUUUUUAAUAUGUGUGUAGUUUCCACUAAGGGGGUAAAACCUCAGUGCCUAGGACUUGCCGAUCGCAUCGUCGGCGGUUCGAAUCCCCGCGGCGGGGUGAGCUCCCGUCUUUCGGUCCCAGCUCCUGCCCACCUAGCAGUUUGAAAGCACCCCUAAGUGCAAGUAGAUAAAUAGGUACCACUUUAUAGCGGGAAGGUAAACGGCGUUUCCGUGUGCUGCACUGGUGCUGGCUCGCCAGAGCAGCUUCCUCACGCUGGCCACGUGACCUGGAAGUGUCUCCGGACAGCGCCGGCCCCCGACCUCUUAACUGAGAUGGGAGCACAACCCUAGAGUCGGACACGACUGGCCCAUAUGGGCUGGGGUACCUUUACCUUUACCUAGUUUCCACUAAAAUAAAGCGGUCUCUCAGGGCACAUCAGAUGCUAAGCAGAAAGUGAGGGAGAUCUAAUUCUUCUUCCCACACAUAUGCUCUACUUUGUUAUUUGUUUUAUUUAUUCAUCGAUAGGUAUGUUUGGAAACUAUGUUGGUAUAAUAUCAUAAAAGAAAAGAAAAAGUUGGCCAUGCCUUUUAAAAACGCACUGUAAAUUUUCGCUUCUUUCAUUGCAAGCUAUUUCACAUUUCCUUCACUAACUCUGAAAAGCAUAGGGGCCAUGUGAUCAGUUAUGUGGGGCAGGGCCUACCUGGGCCCCCACAAUAUUUUAUUCAAGUUGGCACCCCUGCUGAAAAGGCACCCAUUUUAAGAUUUUUGGGAACUGGCAAACAUAUUUGAGUGUAACUGAUGAGCAGGCAGAAUGGUUAUUUUUUUUUAAAGUUUGUUUCAUUUUUGCUAAUUACUAAUAGGAGACCAUGGGGGGGGGGGGAAAGAGGGACAGAUGCCAAAUUCUUCGAUAUUCUUUAGGCGUCUUGAUGAUAAACUGCCAAGCUGGGCAAGAGAAACUUUCUGAGUCCGCUCUAACCCAAUAGUGUCUGAGCUGAGCUCCUGCAACUUGGAAUCAGAUUAGCUGUAUCAAAGCUACAGUUUAGGCAUCCAGUUAUUGAUUGCAGACAAAUCAAAAGCAGAGACGUGUUUUCUGGCAUUUAGCUGCUUUGGGCCAGUAAAUAAGACCUGGCAUGAACUUGUUGAGAUACUCAGACGUCCUUGGGAACGCAGGUUGGUGCAUCAAGGCCUUCAGUAUGUUCCAGCAUUGAAGCUUUUAAAGGAUUGUGCUUUGCAUUCUGAGCCAAAACUAACAAAGGGGUAGCAUGGGAAUCCAGAGGACUUCGAAGCCAUGGGAGGCAAGGCGAUUUCUGGCAUUAGUUGCUGGCUGGGUUUCAAGGCCACUUCGCACAUUACUCAGAUGCAAACUUGGGGUUGCCGUCGGGGUGCCACGAGAAAGCUUUAUUAACUAUGAACUAUGAAAUUUGGGAUCCCCUACAAACUGGUGCCAAAGUUUUGCACUUGUUUUGUACCGUUUUCUACAAAACGAGUUGUUCUGCAAACCUCAUGUUUUGUACGCUCCCCAAAAUGGAGUAAUUGAUAUUCAAACCCGGGGUCACAGGUAUCCCGCCCCCAAACCCCAACAUUGUCCAAUUCACUCCAAACCGGUGCCAAACAUUUUGCAAUAGUUUUGUACCGCAAACCCCACGUUCUGUAUCACCUCCCCAACAGAGUGAUUGAUGCUCAAAAUGUGGGGUUUUGCAGUGCAAAACUUUGGCUUGAAUCAGACAGUGUUGGAUUUUGGAGUGUUAACUACAAAUCCUGGUAUGACGGUGAUAUUAUUCAGUUUGCAGGGUGCAAAACAUGUCAUUCACGGUACAAAAUGGGUACGGAACUUGGGAGGGGAUCCCAAAUUUCAUGGUUCGUGGUUAAUAAAGCUCUGCAAGAACCUGGAGCCAAUCUCAACUCCCUGAUAGCACCUCAUCCUGCUGUGCUGCUAAGUGGGUGCAGACCUGAUUGGCCCUUUGGAGCAGGACUGGGGAACCACAGACCCAGAGGCCAAAUGUGGGUCCCUCUAGGCCCCUCAGGACUCAUUCUAGGCCAUAUCCCCUCUGCAAGACACACUCCUCGGGGGGGGGGGGUGUCCAAGCCUCUGGAUUUUGCACAGCCAGAGUGUAGCCUCAUGUACAGAGGUUUUCCACAUUGACAAAUACUUGAUCCAUCAAAGUAGCAAUGCCAAGACUAUGAAGACUUUCAUUCUAGCAAUGAAAUACGGUCCCUUCUCUAGAAAUGCUCAUUACAUGCCCCGAACACACUGACCAGAUGCUUGGAAGCUGUGGCUGGAUGGUUUCGUGGGAGCCGAUUGAAACUAAAUCCUUCGAAGACAGAGGUCCUAUGGCUGGGUCGGGAUGGCAUGGGGAUGAGGGACCAACUCCCUUCUCUUGCGGGGGCCCAAUUAGUGCCAUUGCCUUCUGUUAAGAGUUUGGGUGUAAUCCUUGACGCCUCCCUUUCCAUGGAGGCGCAAGUUACAGCAACAGCCAAGGUGACAUUUUUCCACCUUCACCGCAUCAAGCAGUUGGUCCCUUACCUUUCCCGCCCUGACCUGGCCACAGUGAUCCAUGCGACGGUCAUCUCCAGGCUUGACUACUGUAAUUCGCUCUACGUGGGGCUGCCCUUGAAGCUGACCCAGAAACUCCAGAGGGUGCAGAAUACUGCAGCGAGGCUCCUCACGGGGUCUCUGCCAUGGGAGCAUAUUCACCCAGUGCUUUUCAAACUGCACUGGCUCCCGGUAGAGUACAGGGUCAGAUUUAAGGUGCUGCUUUUGACCUUUAAAGCCCUUCACGGCCUAGGACCCUCGUACCUACGGGAUCGCCUCUCCCGGAGAGCCUCAAGGUCCAUAAAUAUCAACACCCUAGUGGUCCCGGGCCCUAAGGAAGUUAGAUUGGCUUCAACCAGAGCCAGGGCCUUUUCAACUCUGGCUCCGGCCUGGUGGAACGCUCUGCCUCAUGAGACCAGGGCCCUGCAGGAUCUGAUUUCUUUCCGCAGGGCCUGUAAGACAGAGUUGUUCCGCCUGGCCUUUGGCUUGGAGCCAAUUUGAUUCCCUCCCUCUCUUUCUUUUUUCCUUUCCUUCUCCUCCUUUGAUGAGGCUACAUUUUAAUAUUUUAAUAUUUCAAUAUUUUAAUGUUGUAUUUUAAUGUUGUUUUUAAGUUGUAAUCAUUCAACUUGUUUUUAUUAUUGCUUGUAAGCCGCUCUGAGCCCGGCCUUGGCUGGGGAGGGCGGGGUAUAAAUAAAAAUAUUAUUAUUAUUAUUAUUAUUAUUAUUAUUAUUAUUAUUAUUAAACAAUGUGUCAUUAGCAGAAAUCCUACAUCUUGGGAGGAGGUAUAGGACUGUGAUGAUAAUCUCAUGGCAAUACCAAGUCCUAAACAGCAGCCUUUUGCCAUUUUUUUCCUUAAAAAAAUAAAUAAAUUAGAAAGAGGGUUUUUUUUGUUUUUUUGUUUAGAUGUUUCACAUUUCUGUUCCCUUAGCCUUCUUCUCAGGUUCAAUUUUCAUUUGUCCCCCUUAGGGCUUUUUCAAGCAUGGCUAAGAAAGGAAGAAGAGAAGAAGAGAAGAAAUACAAGAUCAUUGACAUUUGUGAAAAAUGCAGCUGCUACGUAAAGGAGGAAAGGCAAGCUCAGUGCUUUGACUCAGCAGAGCAUCUCUUGCAAAAUAAGAUGAAUGGAAGGGGAGAGGCGAGAGCGCUGUAGAGCCACGGAUGACUUGGAAAAAGGGAAAAGAGGAGAGAGGCUGGUUUAUCCUUCACGUGAGCCAAGGACGUUUAAAAGCAAUCUGGCUUUUUCAGCCAGAGGUGCAGAACUGAAAUCGCUUUUACAUUUCUAUUCGUUCAAAACAACAGAAUGUUCACUAUCCAUUUCAUUGCUCCCCACCCCUCUUGCUCUGGGUGGGAAUGGAGGGGGUGGGGAGUUGGUCCUCUUUGCAUUAUAAUGCGAACCUACACUUUCCUGAAUUUUGCAGUGUCAGCCUACAACCAAAAAAUGUGUUCCACAAGCAGGCAUAUUAGGGGAAAGUGGGCAUUAGGACACAAAUGUUGGUGAAAGCAACAGACAAAAUGCAUCACACUUGGAAAAACAGGCUUGCAAAAAAUUGCCUAGUAGGAGGGAUGCGCACUAAAACGGAUGAAUUCAAAGUAAUGUAGAAAGGUGUGAAGCUGAAGUUAAGAUUGGAAAAAUGAGAAAGGGAGGGAAAUCAACAGCAACCUCUUCACCCAUCCUCAGUCGGAAGGUGCAUGAGGCCCAUACCCUUGCUGAAACUGGUUCGAAGCCUAGAUGGGUCACCAGGCAGGAGCCUUGGAAUCAAUGAAAGAAGAAAAUAUAUGCAAAUAUAAGUGGGCGGGGGAUAAAAAUUAAAUAGGUCUGCACCACAUCUUAGUUUCCCCCUCAUAUUCUUAUUUCCCAGCCUACCUCAUCCCAGUAUGGUGUAGUGGUUAAGAGCGGUGGACUCGUAAUCUGGGGAACUGGGUUCACGUCUCCGCUCCUCCACAUGCAGCUGCUGGGUGACCUUGGGCUAGUCACACUUCUCUGGUCUCUCAGCCCCACUCACCUCACAGAGUGUUUGUUGUGGGGGAGGAAGGGAGAGGAGAAUGUUAGCCGCUUUGAGACUCCUUCGGGUAGUGAUAAAGUGGGAUAUCAAAUCCAAAUCCAAACUCUAUUCCUCUCCAAAUGCAAUCUACGAGUGCAGUCCAGGAGUGCAAUAUUAUACAAUUUAUUUUUUGUUGGCAUCCAUCUGUCUUGAGAGACAAUGGAGUGUGCCUCGGUGUGUGUGUGUGCAUGAAAUCAAACCACUAUGUUAGCAGCACUGAAGUGACCUCCCCAGGGUGCAAGCCUGGGUAGUGUGUAUGGAGGUCCUGGGCUGCCCAGACAAGAAGACCCACCCCCCUCAACCUCGCUGAUGUGGUACAAAGGAGAGCAGAGCAAUACGUCUGUAACCACCACCCCACUUGACCACAGGAGUUGGCAGAAGCAGGUGUACAAGGUGCCACCCAACCAUUUUAGGACUCCAGAUUUCUGUAGGGUUUACUCCUUAGCCUUUUCUUCUCCUGAAGAUAUCCCACAUGGGAGCAAAGGUUUAGAACCAGAGUUUUCCUUCUCCUAGAUGGGCUAGUUUCCCAGGUGGACAAGCCCCAUCUGCCGCUCACUUCCCUCUACAACACAAACAGAAACCACCUUCUUCACAGUUGGACCCACUAUUUGGUCUCAUCUGCUGAAUCCUCCAGAGCCUGCCUUUGCAUGCAGGGGAAGUCCCUAACAUGCCGAGAGUUUGAGAUCCACACCUGGUUUAGUUGGUUUACUCAGAAGUAAAUACAUAGAGUUUAGUGGGUCUUUCCCCCAGGUAAGCGAGUGAAGGAUUGCCACUUACACCUGCAGUCCUAUAUAGUAUACACACUUACCUGUGGAUUGUGGUCCAUGAACACUUAUGCCAUAAUAAAUUUUGUUAGUCUUUAAGGUC